UUAAGCGACUAAGCGUACACGGUGGAUGCCCUGGCAGUCAGAGGCGAUGAAGGACGUGCUAAUCUGCGAUAAGCGUCGGUAAGGUGAUAUGAACCGUUAUAACCGGCGAUUUCCGAAUGGGGAAACCCAGUGUGUUUCGACACACUAUCAUUAACUGAAUCCAUAGGUUAAUGAGGCGAACCGGGGGGAACUGAAACAUCUAAGUACCCCGAGGAAAAGAAAUCAACCGAGAUUCCCCCAGUAGCGGCGAGCGAACGGGGAGGAGCCCAGAGCCUGAAUCAGUGUGUGUGUUAGUGGAAGCGUCUGGAAAGGCGCGCGAUACAGGGUGACAGCCCCGUACACAAAAAUGCACAUGCUGUGAGCUCGAUGAGUAGGGCGGGACACGUGGUAUCCUGUCUGAAUAUGGGGGGACCAUCCUCCAAGGCUAAAUACUCCUGACUGACCGAUAGUGAACCAGUACCGUGAGGGAAAGGCGAAAAGAACCCCGGCGAGGGGAGUGAAAAAGAACCUGAAACCGUGUACGUACAAGCAGUGGGAGCACAGAGCAAUCUGUGUGACUGCGUACCUUUUGUAUAAUGGGUCAGCGACUUAUAUUCUGUAGCAAGGUUAACCGAAUAGGGGGAGCCGAAGGGAAACCGAGUCUUAACUGGGCGUUAAGUUGCAGGGUAUAGACCCGAAACCCGGUGAUCUAGCCAUGGGCUGGUUGAAGGUUGGGUAACACUAACUGGAGGACCGAACCGACUAAUGUUGAAAAAUUAGCGGAUGACUUGUGGCUGGGGGUGAAAGGCCACUCAAACCGGGAGAUAGCUGGUGCUCCCCGAAAGCUAUUUAGGUAGCGCCUCGUGAAUUCAUCUCCGGGGGGUAGAGCACUGUUUCGGCAAGGGGGUCAUCCCGACUUACCAACCCGAUGCAAACUGCGAAUACCGGAGAAUGUUAUCACGGGAGACACACGGCGGGUGCUAACGUCCGUCGUGAAGAGGGAAACAACCCAGACCGCCAGCUAAGGUCCCAAAGUCAUGGUUAAGUGGGAAACGAUGUGGGAAGGCCCAGACAGCCAGGAUGUUGGCUUAGAAGCAGCCAUCAUUUAAAGAAAGCGUAAUAGCUCACUGGUCGAGUCGGCCUGCGCGGAAGAUGUAACGGGGCUAAACCAUGCACCGAAGCUGCGGCAGCGACACUGUGUGUUGUUGGGUAGGGGAGCGUUCUGUAAGCCUGUGAAGGUGUGCUGUGAGGCAUGCUGGAGGUAUCAGAAGUGCGAAUGCUGACAUAAGUAACGAUAAAGCGGGUGAAAAGCCCGCUCGCCGGAAGACCAAGGGUUCCUGUCCAACGUUAAUCGGGGCAGGGUGAGUCGACCCCUAAGGCGAGGCCGAAAGGCGUAGUCGAUGGGAAACAGGUUAAUAUUCCUGUACUUGGUGUUACUGCGAAGGGGGGACGGAGAAGGCUAUGUUGGCCGGGCGACGGUUGUCCCGGUUUAAGCGUGUAGGCUGGUUUUCCAGGCAAAUCCGGAAAAUCAAGGCUGAGGCGUGAUGACGAGGCACUACGGUGCUGAAGCAACAAAUGCCCUGCUUCCAGGAAAAGCCUCUAAGCAUCAGGUAACAUCAAAUCGUACCCCAAACCGACACAGGUGGUCAGGUAGAGAAUACCAAGGCGCUUGAGAGAACUCGGGUGAAGGAACUAGGCAAAAUGGUGCCGUAACUUCGGGAGAAGGCACGCUGAUAUGUAGGUGAAGUCCCUCGCGGAUGGAGCUGAAAUCAGUCGAAGAUACCAGCUGGCUGCAACUGUUUAUUAAAAACACAGCACUGUGCAAACACGAAAGUGGACGUAUACGGUGUGACGCCUGCCCGGUGCCGGAAGGUUAAUUGAUGGGGUCAGCGCAAGCGAAGCUCUUGAUCGAAGCCCCGGUAAACGGCGGCCGUAACUAUAACGGUCCUAAGGUAGCGAAAUUCCUUGUCGGGUAAGUUCCGACCUGCACGAAUGGCGUAAUGAUGGCCAGGCUGUCUCCACCCGAGACUCAGUGAAAUUGAACUCGCUGUGAAGAUGCAGUGUACCCGCGGCAAGACGGAAAGACCCCGUGAACCUUUACUAUAGCUUGACACUGAACAUUGAGCCUUGAUGUGUAGGAUAGGUGGGAGGCUUUGAAGUGUGGACGCCAGUCUGCAUGGAGCCGACCUUGAAAUACCACCCUUUAAUGUUUGAUGUUCUAACGUGGACCCGUGAUCCGGGUUGCGGACAGUGUCUGGUGGGUAGUUUGACUGGGGCGGUCUCCUCCUAAAGAGUAACGGAGGAGCACGAAGGUUGGCUAAUCCUGGUCGGACAUCAGGAGGUUAGUGCAAUGGCAUAAGCCAGCUUGACUGCGAGCGUGACGGCGCGAGCAGGUGCGAAAGCAGGUCAUAGUGAUCCGGUGGUUCUGAAUGGAAGGGCCAUCGCUCAACGGAUAAAAGGUACUCCGGGGAUAACAGGCUGAUACCGCCCAAGAGUUCAUAUCGACGGCGGUGUUUGGCACCUCGAUGUCGGCUCAUCACAUCCUGGGGCUGAAGUAGGUCCCAAGGGUAUGGCUGUUCGCCAUUUAAAGUGGUACGCGAGCUGGGUUUAGAACGUCGUGAGACAGUUCGGUCCCUAUCUGCCGUGGGCGCUGGAGAACUGAGGGGGGCUGCUCCUAGUACGAGAGGACCGGAGUGGACGCAUCACUGGUGUUCGGGUUGUCAUGCCAAUGGCACUGCCCGGUAGCUAAAUGCGGAAGAGAUAAGUGCUGAAAGCAUCUAAGCACGAAACUUGCCCCGAGAUGAGUUCUCCCUGACCCUUUAAGGGUCCUGAAGGAACGUUGAAGACGACGACGUUGAUAGGCCGGGUGUGUAAGCGCAGCGAUGCGUUGAGCUAACCGGUACUAAUGAACCGUGAGGCUUAACCU
This 2905-nucleotide ribosomal RNA is filed under the name Escherichia coli. Its description in RNAcentral is "23S ribosomal RNA". It matches the Rfam family "Bacterial large subunit ribosomal RNA". Lineage: Bacteria; Pseudomonadati; Pseudomonadota; Gammaproteobacteria; Enterobacterales; Enterobacteriaceae. The record is from RNAcentral.